UUGACCUCAAAUCGGGUGAGACUACCCGCUGAACUUAAGCAUAUCAUA
This 48-nucleotide ribosomal RNA is filed under the name Russula cyanoxantha. RNAcentral describes it as "partial 28S ribosomal RNA". Lineage: Eukaryota; Fungi; Basidiomycota; Agaricomycetes; Russulales; Russulaceae. The record is from RNAcentral. RNAcentral also lists the same sequence under 22 other names.